Molecule: ribosomal RNA, 17 nt
Filed under: Phoma sp. CB-S-2
Lineage: Eukaryota; Fungi; Ascomycota; Dothideomycetes; Pleosporales; Didymellaceae
Description: partial 18S ribosomal RNA
Source: RNAcentral
UGUCUUUUGAGUACCUU